Molecule: ribosomal RNA, 292 nt
Filed under: uncultured bacterium
Lineage: Bacteria
Description: partial 16S ribosomal RNA
Rfam family: Bacterial small subunit ribosomal RNA
Source: RNAcentral
GUGUCAGCAGCCGCGGUAAAACGUAGGAGCCAAGCGUUAUCCGAAUUUACUGGGCGUAAAGCGCGUGCAGGCGGCUGAGUAAGUGGGCUGUAAAAUCUCCCGGCUCAACUGGGAGGGGACGGUCCAGACUGCUUGGCUCGAGGCAGGUAGAGGGAGGUGGAAUUCCGGGUGUAGUGGUGAAAUGCGUAGAUAUCCGGAGGAACACCAGUGGCGAAAGCGGCCUCCUGGGCCUGACCUGACGCUGAGAUGCGAAAGCUAGGGGAGCAAACGGGAUUAGAUACCCCCGUAGUCC